This 65-nucleotide microRNA precursor is filed under the name Pteropus alecto (black flying fox). Its description in RNAcentral is "microRNA pal-mir-282 precursor". Its record names the gene pal-mir-282. Lineage: Eukaryota; Metazoa; Chordata; Mammalia; Chiroptera; Pteropodidae. The record is from miRBase by way of RNAcentral.
AGAGGUGUAGGGCAUGGGAAAAGGGGGCGACGAGGUUCGCCUCCCGCCGCACCCGCAUCCUCGGG